This 342-nucleotide unclassified non-coding RNA is filed under the name soil metagenome. RNAcentral describes it as "partial contains 5.8S ribosomal RNA, internal transcribed spacer 2, and large subunit ribosomal RNA". The stretch from base 1 to 120 matches the Rfam family "5.8S ribosomal RNA", at positions 35 to 154 of the family's 154-position model. The record is from RNAcentral.
GAUGAAGAACGUAGCGAAAUGCGAUAAGUAGUGUGAAUUGCAGAAUUCAGUGAAUCAUCGAAUCUUUGAACGCACAUUGCGCCCUUUGGUAUUCCAAAGGGCAUGCCUGUUCGAGCGUCAUUUGUACCCUCAAGCUUUGCUUGGUGUUGGGCGUCUUGUCUCUAGCUUUGCUGGAGACUCGCCUUAAAGUAAUUGGCAGCCGGCCUACUGGUUUCGGAGCGCAGCACAAGUCGCACUCUCUAUCAGCAAAGGUCUAGCAUCCAUUAAGCCUUUUUUUCAACUUUUGACCUCGGAUCAGGUAGGGAUACCCGCUGAACUUAAGCAUAUCAAUAAGCGGAGGAA